UUGGAAUGCAUCCCAUCUAACAUGCUUGUUUAGACCAUUGCAUGCAAUUGUCCUGGUUGUAAUUAAGCAUGAGAGAAAGGAACGGCACUACAUCGAUGUGCAAAGUGUUCAGACACCGUAGCACACCUGGCAUUUGCGUGUUUGUUUGCACGUCGAGUCGUGCGUGAGUGAGUGGUGCGUCGGUGGAGCUAUGAAUGGGCAGAGAGGGGUGUUCUCUCACACACACCGUCACAGCUCUGGGAUGAGGAGUGCCAUCUACUCUACUGCACGUCUGCUGUGCUGCUGAGAGGAAAGAAGACAAGGGGAGAGAAGGAGCUUUACUGUUGUCCAAGAAUUUUCAAAAGCACAAGGUCAGUCUUUAGCACUGAACUGGAAAAAUCUCCACUCAGCCAUGGAGCAGAAGACAAAUGAGUGUCCCACCUCUACCUCUCCUCAGAAGCACAUGAAGAACAGGUCUAAAUCCACAGAGGAGAUGCAACAGUCCAGGAAGGCAUUUUCCUCACAAAAGUCACUGCCAGGCAGGCCUGAUCUGGAAAAAGUGAAGGAGUGUCUCGAUGGCUCUGACACGCCUUCGUCCUCCACAGAAGAGUUGAAGUGAAAAAUGGCAUCGACAUCGAGCCAUAUACAAGUUAAAGUUACACAUAUAAAAUGUACAUAUGUCAACAAAGAAAAUGCCAAACAAUUCUGAUCAUAGAUGACUAGAAUCUACUCAAGCUGUGAAUUUCAUGCUGAAUCAACCUUAACUAAAGUCCAAAUCUGAUGAAGUUGUGUCAUUGUGCUGUGACUGAUAUAACUGUAAUUAAAGUGAAGUGAUGUUGGACAAA
This is a long non-coding RNA of Poeciliopsis prolifica (blackstripe livebearer), 824 nucleotides long. RefSeq lists it as uncharacterized. NCBI's taxonomy places the organism in Eukaryota, Metazoa, Chordata, Actinopteri, Cyprinodontiformes, Poeciliidae. The transcript is spliced from 5 exons. The record is from RefSeq and is a predicted model, not a curated record.